This is a non-coding RNA of Brachypodium distachyon (stiff brome), 462 nucleotides long. The record is from RefSeq and is marked provisional. NCBI's taxonomy places the organism in Eukaryota, Viridiplantae, Streptophyta, Magnoliopsida, Poales, Poaceae.
UUGCCCAGGACCAUUACAAUUCUUGGGACAUUUGCUGAAACACACCGCCCGUCCAAAAAGGGAAAGUUGACCUUUUUGUCUGCUCAUGACAUGUUUUUUAGCUUGAGAUGGCUGUUUUGAAUAGUUUUUUUCUCUAAUGAAAAUUUUCCCUGCUCAUGAGUCGAACAAAAUAAUUACUGCGUUCCUCGACCUUAUAUAUGGAUGACGGCUGACCUUUGGCAUACUGACCCAAGUGCUACUUUUCUUUUUUGUUGUUCACUUUUGAGAAUCUGGAGCAAGCUGAUCGCUUUCGGAUUGAGUAUAGGCACGGAAAAGUACUGCUUGAUUUGAUAUGGUCCAAAGAGGCGACAUCCUCAAGGAAAAGUAAAGGUGUAUUCAUUAAAUAAAUGAAGAAACUCUCCCUUUUUGUACGGGCAGUGUGUUUCGGCAAAUGGCCCGAGAAUUGUAAUGGUACUGGGCAAA